Molecule: ribosomal RNA, 447 nt
Filed under: uncultured bacterium
Lineage: Bacteria
Description: bacterial SSU rRNA
Rfam family: Bacterial small subunit ribosomal RNA
Source: RNAcentral
UCGGGAAUUUUGGGCAAUGGGCGAAAGCCUGACCCAGCAACGCCGCGUGAAGGAUGAAGUAUUUCGGUACGUAAACUUCGAAAGAAUAGGAAGAAUAAAUGACGGUACUAUUUAUAAGGUCCGGCUAACUACGUGCCAGCAGCCGCGGUAAUACGUAGGGACCAAGCGUUGUUCGGAUUUACUGGGCGUAAAGGGCGCGUAGGCGGCAAUUCAAGUCAUCUGUGAAAUCUCCGGGCUUAACUCGGAACGGUCAGAUGAUACUGCUUUGCUAGAGUGCAGAAGGGGCAAUCGGAAUUCUUGGUGUAGCGGUGAAAUGCGUAGAUAUCAAGAGGAACACCUGAGGUGAAGACGGGUUGCUGGGCUGACACUGACGCUGAGGCGCGAAAGCCAGGGGAGCAAACGGGAUUAGAUACCCCAGUAGUCCCUGAGCGGGCUGGCAAGGCGCAU